This 390-nucleotide ribosomal RNA is filed under the name fungal sp. Cul1_11. Its description in RNAcentral is "eukaryotic LSU rRNA". It matches the Rfam family "Eukaryotic large subunit ribosomal RNA", at positions 38 to 422 of the family's 3401-position model. Lineage: Eukaryota; Fungi. The record is from RNAcentral.
GCAUAUCAAUAAGCGGAGGAAAAGAAACUAACAAGGAUUCCCCUAGUAACUGCGAGUGAAGCGGGAAAAGCUCAAAUUUAAAAUCUGGCGGUCUCUGGCCGUCCGAGUUGUAGUCUGGAGAAGCGUUUUCCGCGUUGGACCGUGUACAAGUUUCCUGGAACGGAGCGUCAUAGAGGGUGAGAAUCCCGUCUUUGACACGGAUCCCAAUGCUUUGUGAUGCGCUCUCAAAGAGUCGAGUUGUUUGGGAAUGCAGCUCAAAAUGGGUGGUGAAUUCCAUCUAAAGCUAAAUAUUGGCGAGAGACCGAUAGCGAACAAGUACCGUGAGGGAAAGAUGAAAAGCACUUUGGAAAGAGAGUUAAACAGUACGUGAAAUUGUUGAAAGGGAAACGC